Molecule: ribosomal RNA, 760 nt
Filed under: uncultured bacterium
Lineage: Bacteria
Description: bacterial SSU rRNA
Rfam family: Bacterial small subunit ribosomal RNA
Source: RNAcentral
AAUUCGAUUAGAGUUUGAUCCUGGCUCAGAUUGAACGCUGGCGGCAUGCCUUACACAUGCAAGUCGAACGGCAGCACGGGAGCUUGCUCCUGGUGGCGAGUGGCGAACGGGUGAGUAAUACAUCGGAACGUACCCAGGAGUGGGGGAUAACGUAGCGAAAGUUACGCUAAUACCGCAUAUUCUGUGAGCAGGAAAGCGGGGGAUCGCAAGACCUCGCGCUCUUGGAGCGGCCGAUGUCGGAUUAGCUAGUUGGUGAGGUAAAAGCUCACCAAGGCGACGAUCCGUAGCAGGUCUGAGAGGAUGAUCUGCCACACUGGGACUGAGACACGGCCCAGACUCCUACGGGAGGCAGCAGUGGGGAAUUUUGGACAAUGGGGGCAACCCUGAUCCAGCCAUGCCGCGUGAGUGAAGAAGGCCUUCGGGUUGUAAAGCUCUUUCGGCGGGGAAGAAAUGGCAACGGCUAAUAUCCGUUGUUGAUGACGGUACCCGCAUAAGAAGCACCGGCUAACUACGUGCCAGCAGCCGCGGUAAUACGUAGGGUGCGAGCGUUAAUCGGAAUUACUGGGCGUAAAGCGUGCGCAGGCGGUUUCGUAAGACAGACGUGAAAUCCCCGGGCUCAACCUGGGAACUGCGUUUGUGACUGCGAGGCUAGAGUACGGCAGAGGGGGGUAGAAUUCCACGUGUAGCAGUGAAAUGCGUAGAGAUGUGGAGGAAUACCGAUGGCGAAGGCAGCCCCCUGGGUUGGGUACUGACGCUCAUG